RNAcentral lists this ribosomal RNA (520 nucleotides) under uncultured Glomus. RNAcentral describes it as "SSU rRNA". It matches the Rfam family "Eukaryotic small subunit ribosomal RNA", at positions 569 to 1092 of the family's 1831-position model. Lineage: Eukaryota; Fungi; Glomeromycota; Glomeromycetes; Glomerales; Glomeraceae. The record is from RNAcentral.
AGCAGCCGCGGUAAUUCCAGCUCCAAUAGCGUAUAUUAAAGUUGUUGCAGUUAAAAAGCUCGUAGUUGAAUUUCGAGACCGGCUUACUGGUCGUGCUAUUGUACGUACUGGUAUAAUCGGUUUCUCCUUUCUGACGAACUAUAAUGCCAUUAAUUUGGCGUUUUAGGGAAUCAGGACUGUUACUUUGAAAAAAUUAGAGUGUUUAAAGCAGGCUCACGCUUGAAUACAUUAGCAUGGAAUAACGGAAUAGGACGUUUGAUUCUAUUUUGUUGGUUUCUAGGAUCGACGUAAUGAUUAAUAGGGAUAGUUGGGGGCAUUAGUAUUCAAUUGUCAGAGGUGAAAUUCUUGGAUUUAUUGAAGACUAACUACUGCGAAAGCAUUUGCCAAGGAUGUUUUCAUUAAUCAAGAACGAAAGUUAGGGGAUCGAAGACGAUCAGAUACCGUCGUAGUCUUAACCAUAAACUAUGCCGACUAGGGAUCGGAUGAUGUUAAUUUUUAAUGACUCAUUCGGCGCCUUACG